UACAGAGGUCUCAAGCGUUGUUCGGAUUCAUUGGGCGUAAAGGGUGCGUAGGCGGCGCGGUAAGUCGGGUGUGAAAUCUCGGGGCUUAACUCCGAAACUGCAUUUGAUACUGCGGUGCUUGAGGACUGGAGAGGAGACUGGAAUUUACGGUGUAGCGGUGAAAUGCGUAGAUAUCGUAAGGAAGACCAGUGGCGAAGGCGGCUCACUGGCCCGGUACUGACGCUGAGGCGCGAAAGCGUGGGGAGCAAACAGG
This 253-nucleotide ribosomal RNA is filed under the name uncultured bacterium. RNAcentral describes it as "partial 16S ribosomal RNA". It matches the Rfam family "Bacterial small subunit ribosomal RNA", at positions 524 to 776 of the family's 1533-position model. The record is from RNAcentral.